This 440-nucleotide ribosomal RNA is filed under the name uncultured bacterium. Its description in RNAcentral is "partial 16S ribosomal RNA". It matches the Rfam family "Bacterial small subunit ribosomal RNA", at positions 338 to 795 of the family's 1533-position model. The record is from RNAcentral.
CCUACGGGUGGCAGCAGUAGGGAAUAUUGCUCAAUGGGGGAAACCCUGAAGCAGCAACGCCGCGUGGAGGAUGAAGGUCUUCGGAUUGUAAACUCCUUUUGUUAGAGAAGAUAAUGACGGUAUCUAACGAAUAAGCACCGGCUAACUCCGUGCCAGCAGCCGCGGUAAUACGGAGGGUGCAAGCGUUACUCGGAAUCACUGGGCGUAAAGAGCGCGUAGGCGGGUUAGCAAGUCAGAUGUGAAAUCCUAUGGCUUAACCAUAGAACUGCAUUUGAAACUGUUAUUCUAGAGUAUGGGAGAGGUAGGUGGAAUUCUAGGUGUAGGGGUAAAAUGCGUAGAGAUCAAGAAGAAUACUCAUUGCGAAGGCGACCUGCUAGAACAUAACUGACGCUGAUGCGCGAAAGCGUGGGGAGCAAACAGGAUUAGAUACCCCUGUAGUC